AUGGAUGCAGAAAAAAUGGGGUCGCAUGGCUGCGAAAAGCAAAAUAGCACGACGUGGGACGGAACGCCAUGCGUCCGGAGAGGCACGUGCAACAGGCCCUGCAGGGCCGAGGGCUUCGACAACGGCCAUUGUGACAACCUCUUUACAUGCAUCUGCUACAGAAACUGCACCGACCUAGUAUACAUGUAG
RNAcentral lists this ribosomal RNA (189 nucleotides) under Triticum aestivum (bread wheat). RNAcentral's name for it is "partial small subunit ribosomal RNA". The record is from RNAcentral. Lineage: Eukaryota; Viridiplantae; Streptophyta; Magnoliopsida; Poales; Poaceae.